This is a long non-coding RNA of Solanum pennellii, 1970 nucleotides long. RefSeq lists it as uncharacterized. The transcript has 4 exons. NCBI's taxonomy places the organism in Eukaryota, Viridiplantae, Streptophyta, Magnoliopsida, Solanales, Solanaceae. The record is from RefSeq and is a predicted model, not a curated record.
AUUUAAUAUUCAAACGGUUUAAUGGAAAUGAAAAUUGAAAACAAAUACCCAAACCAAAAAAUCCCUAAAAUCUAGGGUUUCACCGUGGCAUUUUGGUCGCGCUCAUUUGCUUGGCAACGGCGCUUUGUCAGCAGUAACAUCUUGUAAUACGGCGUUGCCAGCCUGUGCAUUUUGGUGCUAUUUUUUUUUUUUAUCAGACACAAUUUUUCAAUCAGCCAUGACUAACUAAACAAGAACUGCUGUUGUGGAAGGGGAAAAAGAAGAUAUAAUCAUUGCUAUGCCAAGAAACGUGGUCUAUCGUAUACUUGAGCUCAUGCCGGUUCGCGACGCAGCAAGAGCUAGUAUUUUGUCUAGUAAAUGGAGAAAUAUUUGGGUCUCACUUCUAUAUCUAGUGUUAAAUAACUAUUUUCGCAAAAAGUUUCACUGCAAAACCUACAACUAUUUUUAGAAAAACAGUUGAUGAGAUUCUCUUAGAGCAUGUUGGAGACAUUGUGAAGUUUGUUCUCAACGUCUUGGGCAUAAAUUCGUAUUCAUAUGCUAGUUUUGGUAGAUGGAUGCGUUAUGUCACCAGAAAUGGUGUCAAGGAGCUAAUUAUUUAUAUGUCGGAUAAGAAAACUUAUAUAUUGCCUUGUUAUGUAUUUAAUUGUCCGACCUUCACACAUUUGGAACUCUUCAACUGUGUCUUCAAACCACCAACUUAUUUUCUUGGCUUUCGAAAUCUUACGAAUCUUCAUCUAGAAAGAAUAACAUUUGUGCCAACCAACCAAUUUUGUGUUAUCGAUGUUCUCCUUCUUGUGGAUUUAGCCUUGAUGUUCUGUUGUGGCACUCUAUACUUGAAGAUGGUUUCACCACAAUUGAAGUCCUUGUUUGUUCUUGAAGGUCACUAUCUCAUGCUAAAUUGCUUUAUGAAUUGUGAAAAAGAAAGUGUUAGGGAUUGAAUUGGAAAAAGUGGAGGAUGAUCCGAAACAUGAUGAAAUAUCAACCGUGGAAAAGUUGCUAUUUAGCUUUGCUUCACUUGAACAACUUUAUUUGGGUUCCUUGGUCCUUGAGCUUUUGAACGCAAAUAUAGUUCUGGAUGAGCUUUCUUCCAAGCUCAAUUGCUUGUGGGCUCUAUUCUUAGGUGUUGACUUCAACAAAGUAGAUCAGACUUGUUGUGCUCUAACAGUUAAUCAACAGUUUUUUCUAGUUUGAGUAAACUUAAGAUUAUGGUGCAGGAUGGGGACGACAAUGCUGAAACAGUUAUGAAAUAUCUGGAGACACCAACGUGCUUGAAUAGACCACUUAGCAAACUCGAAUGUGUGACCAUCAAUUCUUUUCAGUAUUCAAAAACUGAAGUGUUUUUUGUAAAGCUGUGAUGUGCUUGCACUCCAUUUCUUGUAAGGAUGUGCAUUGAGCAAGGGAUAGCCAUUGAUUCCAAGGAAGAAAGGAAUAUCACCAUCAAAUUGAUGCAUAUCCCAGAGCUUGCACACUGGCAGAACUGUUCUAUUUUCCAUUUGAGUCUACGAAUGCAGACUGAUGACUCUGUUUUCAAUGAGUUUUGUUAAACAAAGGCAUUGAAUUGGCCAAUUUCGUAAAACGUGUGGUUUCCUUAAUGGUAAAUAUGUUCAUCACUUGGAUGUUUCUAAAGUUGCAGAGUCUGUGUUGACGUGUGUGAUAAGUUAACAGUUUUCAGAUGCAUAUUAUACCUGUUCUGAUAACCCGCGGAGGAAUUUGACAGGAUGACGCAAUGUUAGAAUCCAUCCAACUAACCAAAUCACUCUUGAGGUUUGACAGAUUCGAAUCACAUGUCAAACCUACUUUUUCUCCCUCGCAAUUGCUGGCAACCUGCGCUUUUUCUCACUUCUUCUCCGGGAAUUUUCAACUCUGCUCUUGAUAUGACAUUGCUACCUCUGUGGUUUUUGGUACUGUUCUAGUUUCAUCAUUUUUGAAUCAACUAACUCAACAAGGUAUACGAUUCUCUUUUCCUCUAA